UCCCCACCCACCCGUGCCCCUUCCCCUCGCAUCUCUUCCUCCCGAGCCCCGACCCCAGGCUAGGGUUCCAUACGCCGCCGCCGGUGUCUCACCCCCUCACCACACACGCAUCUCUCCUUUCCAUCCCCACCUGAGGUCCUCAAUCGCCAUCUCGAGGUCCGAGAAGAGAGGGCCGCCGCACCGUCUUCCUCCUCCACCGACCUCCGAGGCGCCCUACUCGUGGGACGACGCCGCCGCCGCCUUGUGGAACCCCAGGGCAGGGCAGGGCGUGGUCGAGUUGCGGGCAGGGAAGAGCGGCGCCGACGCCGUGCGUAGCCAGUUCGUGCGAGGACAAGGACUGCCGCCGCCCGGGCCGCGGUGACCACGGACGUGGAGCUGCUGAAGCGGUUCCUCAAAAUCAUGUCUAUUAGUGUUUCUUCUCUCUCUCUCUCUCUAUAUAUAUAUAUAUAUGCAUGAUCUUUCCUUUUAUAAUUCUAUGCAUGAUUUUUGCUACUGCUGGCCUUGAAUUGCCACUGAUUUGGGCCACCUUGUUUAUGAUUCGUGCACGCAUGUGUUUCGUUGGUCUUUUGCGGCAUGUGGGGAGCGUAAACUGGAACGUGUGCAGCAGGCAUCGCUGCUGCGCUGGACGACGUUGUGCGAGGCCAUGGCCAUGGAUGAUGUGCUGUUGGAGAACGGCGCAGGGCUAAGGUAGUCGAUGUGAGCGACCACUGGGGAGUGCCUAUAAUAUGUGGCUCUAGAGGUGCUGAAGCGGCGAACUGAGCUGAGGCCAGCAUAAGGAGUGACAGAGUUAUCCUCAACUUUUAUUUGUUCAUGUUGUCUCCACAAACUGACUUGUGUAUGUGUUCAUGGAUCAGAGACAGCGUGCGCUACCACGAGCACGAGGACAUCUGGGUGCGACAGUCAGAGAGCUCGUCGAGAGGCUCGGUAGGAUGGAGGGUGUCCCGCUAGCUACCCGCGUCGUUGCCAACGGUGCCAUGGGAUUUGUGGUGCACAUGGUCAAGGAGAUGUGCGGAUUCUUGGGCAAUCUCAGCUUCGAUCAACAUGUCAAUACAGGAUACGUGCUAUUCAAAGAGUGACAUAAAUUCAGAGUUCUUCCAUUGAAAUCUAGAGGAUCGGGUGCAUUUUUGUUCAGGUCUGAAAUGAGAAGAAAUAAUCAAUUGCUUUUUCUCUGAAGUUUCCCAAUGUAAAUCCUUUGUUUUUGAGAAAGAAUCAAAGCAUGCCAGCUGAUGAAGGAACGGAGGAAGCUAUUAUGCUUGGUUGUGGAAGAGUGUAUCCAACAGGAUCCACCUGACUAUGGCCAAUUGGUGCUUGCACAACAUCAGGGAAUGAUUUUUGGAGACCUGCGUAGUGGUUGGAGAUGCAUAACUACAUGUCUUUCUACUUUGGGCUCGGGCUUGAACCUCUCAUUGUGUAAAUCGAUGUGUGACUAUGGGAUCGUUAUAUCGUGUCUCCUCGUACUGCAGUAUGCUACAUAGAAUAGUUAGAAAUUGGGCUAUACUAUAUACAGGAUUGUAUUAGCAUUUUGAAUCUAAGCUAAUUGUUCUCGCCUUCUGAUUUAUUCA
This is a long non-coding RNA of Triticum aestivum (bread wheat), 1562 nucleotides long. RefSeq lists it as uncharacterized. Lineage: Eukaryota; Viridiplantae; Streptophyta; Magnoliopsida; Poales; Poaceae. The record is from RefSeq and is a predicted model, not a curated record. The transcript is spliced from 5 exons.